UGGGGAAUUUUGGACAAUGGGCGCAAGCCUGAUCCAGCCAUGCCGCGUGCGGGAAGAAGGCCUUCGGGUUGUAAACCGCUUUUGUCAGGGAAGAAAUCUUCUGAGUUAAUACCUCGGGAGGAUGACGGUACCUGAAGAAUAAGCACCGGCUAACUACGUGCCAGCAGCCGCGGUAAUACGUAGGGUGCAAGCGUUAAUCGGAAUUACUGGGCGUAAAGCGUGCGCAGGCGGUUUUGUAAGACAGAGGUGAAAUCCCCGGGCUCAACCUGGGAACUGCCUUUGUGACUGCAAGGCUUGAGUGCGGCAGAGGGGGAUGGAAUUCCGCGUGUAGCAGUGAAAUGCGUAGAUAUGCGGAGGAACACCGAUGGCGAAGGCAAUCCCCUGGGCCUGUACUGACGCUCAUGCACGAAAGCGUGGGGAGCAAACAGGAUUAGAUACCCCUGGUAGUCCACGCCCUAAACGAUGUCAACUGGUUGUUGGGAAGGUUCCUUCUCAGUAACGUAGCUAACGCGUGAAGUUGACCGCCUGGGGAGUACGGCCGCAAGGUUGAAACUCAAAUGAAUUGACGGGGU
Molecule: ribosomal RNA, 572 nt
Filed under: uncultured bacterium
Lineage: Bacteria
Description: partial 16S ribosomal RNA
Rfam family: Bacterial small subunit ribosomal RNA
Source: RNAcentral